RNAcentral lists this ribosomal RNA (496 nucleotides) under uncultured Sphingobacteriales bacterium. RNAcentral's name for it is "bacterial SSU rRNA". It matches the Rfam family "Bacterial small subunit ribosomal RNA", at positions 903 to 1382 of the family's 1533-position model. The record is from RNAcentral. Lineage: Bacteria; Pseudomonadati; Bacteroidota; Sphingobacteriia; Sphingobacteriales.
GCCAGCCCGCUCAGAAACUUAAAGGAAUGACGGGGCCCGCACAAGCGGAGGAGCAUGUGGUUUAAUUCGAUGAUACGCGAGGAACCUUACCUGGGCUCGAACGUAAGAUGACUGUAGGUGAAAGCUUACAUCUCUUCGGAGCAUUUUACGAGGUGCUGCAUGGUUGUCGUCAGCUCGUGCCGUGAGGUGUCGGGUUAAGUCCCAUAACGAGCGCAACCCUACCUUUAGUUGCCAUCAGGUAAUGCUGGGGACUCUAAAGGAACUGCCUACGCAAGUAGUGAGGAAGGCGGGGAUGACGUCAAAUCAGCACGGCCCUUACGUCCAGGGCUACACACGUGCUACAAUGGCCGAUACAGAGGGCAGCUACCUGGUGACAGGAUGCAAAUCUCCAAAGUCGGUCUCAGUUCGGAUCGGAGUCUGCAACCCGACUCCGUGAAGUUGGAUUCGCUAGUAAUCGCGCAUCAGCCAUGGCGCGGUGAAUACGUUCCCGGGCCUU